CGCGAGAACGGGCAGCCAAGCGCUGGGACGAACGCGCGGCGCCACCACCCACAUCAUCACUGCCCCCAGACCCCAGUCCCCCACCCGCCCAUCGCCACGCCCCCACGCCAACGCCACACCACGCGGACCGCAGCCGCGCGGCAGCUGCUCACAGCCAGGGGCGCAGCAUAGCCGCGCGUAGGCCUCCACCUCCUCCUCCCCAGCGAGCGAGAGAGCACGACGCGACCGUCACCGCACGUUGAGAUCCCCCGUAGGCUCCUGCUCUCCCCCCUUUCGAUGGUCUCCGCCAGCACGCCGCCGCUGCCGCCGCCGACGCAGCCGCAGUCCGACGCGGCCGGGUCGGGGGAGGACGCCAGCAAGAAGGUGCGGAAGCCGUACACCAUCACCAAGUCGCGGGAGAGCUGGACGGAGCAGGAGCACGACAAGUUCCUCGAGGCCCUGCAGCUCUUUGACCGUGACUGGAAGAAGAUAGAGGCUUUUGUUGGCUCCAAGACUGUCAUACAGAUAAGGAGCCAUGCACAGAAAUACUUUUUGAAGGUUCAGAAAAAUGGAACCAGCGAACAUGUCCCACCUCCACGACCAAAGCGAAAAGCUGCUCAUCCAUAUCCUCAGAAGGCCUCCAAGAAUGAACCAAACUAUGGACUCAAGACAGAUUCAUCUUCCAUCCAUAGGAACUCUGGCAUGAAUGCAACUGUUUCUUCAUGGGCCGUUAGUUCCAUCCCACCAGCUGUUGCCUCAUCGAUGGUGAAAGAAGAUUUAGGACCUGGAACACUGGGUCCAAACAAUUUUUGCUCGAGCAGUACCGAAGGCCCUCCAAGGACAUGGCAACCUGGUGAAACAAAUGAUCAAAUAAAUCAAGUUCCGUCACUUCGCCUUAUGCCGGAUUUUGCGCAAGUGUACAGCUUCUUAGGUAGUGUUUUUGAUCCAAGCACAAGUGGUCAUCUGCAGAAACUUAAGGAGAUGAAUCCAAUUGAUGUUGAAACGGCAUUAUUGUUGAUGAGGAAUCUCUCCAUCAAUUUGACCAGUCCUGAUUUUGAAGAUCAAUUGUGAUGCCAGUACUUAGUAGAGCAGAUCUUAAGUUUGGACCACUAUCUUAUAGCUCAAACUUUUGAUGCCCUGGCAUCCACAUUUCACAAGUGAGAAGACACAAGAUUAAUGCAUGCUAAGCAUACAAGAGGAAGCUGUUGUCCUCAUAUAGCACUUCUGGUGGACUUGAGCUAGGGAGUUCCAGGAGUUCAGCUCUAGCAACGAGUGCUCCUUUCAUGUAAGGAUCAAAGGCGAAUAGUGAGACCAGGUCUCUCGGCAUAUAAUUUCAGUUCGAGAGACUCUCAGGAUGGUGCUCUGCCAUAGCACCGAUGAGCAAUGAAGGCGCUUGCACCUUUGUGCUUCCUGCGCUUCAAGCCUUCGGCUGAAGAUUGUGUAAGGGUGCAGCUGUGACCCAUGUACACUAGGCUUCCGAAAGGUGAGAUUGGUCUGUGGCCGGAUGUGUAUAUAUAAUUUUUGCCCUGAAGCGUGUACCCUUCCUAUCCUAUUGGUACGGUGGUACCCCAAGCUCGGUCAUAUAGGUUCCUGAAUGCUCCUUCAGUUAAAGAAUGUCCCUGUCCUUAGUAAUGGAAAGAGGAAUGGAAAUUUUGAGUAAUGCCGGUUGCUCCCUUUUUCCUCCAUUGAGUUAUGUUACUGAUAUCAGUUUGGUUUUCUGGCUGCUAUCUGGUAUGGAGCUUCUGCCCCAUGUGGCCAUCUCUAUCUAAGCAAGCAAGUCUGUAAGUUUCACAUGAGGUGAUCAAAAUGUUGUUAAGCGGUUUACUUUCCCCAUUCGAACGAAUGUUUCUUGUUCCUAUGUAUUAUUGUUCAUUGUGCAUUAGGUGUCACUCUUGUGUAAAAGAAAAAAGAAUCACAAUGUAAAGGAGACUUGUGCACUAGCACUAUCAUUUGAAUUCUAUACAGCGUAAAAGUAACUCAGCGA
RNA transcript from Setaria italica (foxtail millet), 1963 nucleotides. It is a transcript of the gene named protein REVEILLE 6, with no coding region annotated. Lineage: Eukaryota; Viridiplantae; Streptophyta; Magnoliopsida; Poales; Poaceae. The record is from RefSeq and is a predicted model, not a curated record. The transcript is spliced from 10 exons.